RNAcentral lists this ribosomal RNA (486 nucleotides) under uncultured bacterium. Its description in RNAcentral is "partial 16S ribosomal RNA". It matches the Rfam family "Bacterial small subunit ribosomal RNA", at positions 30 to 507 of the family's 1533-position model. The record is from RNAcentral.
AUUGAACGCUGGCGGCAUGCCUUACACAUGCAAGUCGAACGGCAGCACGGGUGCUUGCACCUGGUGGCGAGUGGCGAACGGGUGAGUAAUACAUCGGAACAUGUCCUGUAGUGGGGGAUAGCCCGGCGAAUGCCGGAUUAAUACCGCAUACGAUCUACGGAUGAAAGCGGGGGACCUUCGGGCCUCGCGCUAUAGGGUUGGCCGAUGGCUGAUUAGCUAGUUGGUGGGGUAAAGGCCUACCAAGGCGACGAUCAGUAGCUGGUCUGAGAGGACGACCAGCCACACUGGGACUGAGACACGGCCCAGACUCCUACGGGAGGCAGCAGUGGGGAAUUUUGGACAAUGGGCGAAAGCCUGAUCCAGCAAUGCCGCGUGUGUGAAGAAGGCCUUCGGGUUGUAAAGCACUUUUGUCCGGAAAGAAAUCCUUGGCCCUAAUACGGUCGGGGGAUGACGGUACCGGAAGAAUAAGCACCGGCUAACUACGUG